AUUGACAUGCCUACAAAAUAAUCUGGUCAGGCUGACAGCAUUUUGAGAUAGUGCAGAACAGACAUGCAUACACAAACUUAUUAGGUAUUUGAGUCUCUACACAAACGUACAUUCACCAUCAGCUGUUAUCAAGUUAAAGGAUGGUUGCAGUAUACAAUCUAGGAACCUCCCCGUUGCCUAUAAUAACAGUCACACCUGUGCACGUGCCUCUUGUUGCGAAAUCAAGUUUAAGUACCCAGCAGUCAAACUGCUAAUUACACAAGCAUUUAACACAAGUUUGAAGUCUGGGAUAUGAUUACUAUUGAAUAAACAGAAAAGCAACUGCAGAUAUCAUACUAGCGAGCAACAAACUCUUGCAACAAUGAAAAGGAAAUUAAAAACAUUGUCGCCAGACUUUCAUGAAUGAGUACAAGCCAUUAGCAUAUUUUACAUCCCAUCUCAAUGAAUGUAAUCAAAACUGAUAUGUUAAAAGUUAAACUUAUAUGCGAAAGUAGUUACAAUGUUGUGAAAAAAGCUUUGGGAAAUGCAUCCGCUUGAAUUGUACCUGAAUUGAAAUCGAAUGGACAACCAAUGUAUAUAAAUCGACACCAUAUAAUUUGUCUUGCCACUUUACUGAGAAUAGAAGGAAUGACAAAGGCUAAAAAAGGCAUGCCUUCUAAUUUCUUCCUUCAGACGCAAAUUUUCUGUGGCAAA
This is a long non-coding RNA of Populus trichocarpa (black cottonwood), 693 nucleotides long. RefSeq lists it as uncharacterized. NCBI's taxonomy places the organism in Eukaryota, Viridiplantae, Streptophyta, Magnoliopsida, Malpighiales, Salicaceae. The record is from RefSeq and is a predicted model, not a curated record. The transcript has 3 exons.